UACGUAGGGUGCGAGCGUUGUCCGGAAUUAUUGGGCGUAAAGAGCUUGUAGGCGGUUUGUCGCGUCUGCCGUGAAAUUUCGGGGCUCAACCCCGAACUUGCGGUGGGUACGGGCAGACUAGAGUGUGGUAGGGGAGACUGGAAUUCCUGGUGUAGCGGUGAAAUGCGCAGAUAUCAGGAGGAACACCGAUGGCGAAGGCAGGUCUCUGAGCCACUACUGACGCUGAGAAGCGAAAGCAUGGGGAGCGAACAGG
Molecule: ribosomal RNA, 253 nt
Filed under: uncultured bacterium
Lineage: Bacteria
Description: partial 16S ribosomal RNA
Rfam family: Bacterial small subunit ribosomal RNA
Source: RNAcentral